Non-coding RNA from Acanthosepion pharaonis, 101 nucleotides. Lineage: Eukaryota; Metazoa; Mollusca; Cephalopoda; Sepiida; Sepiidae. The record is from the annotation of a GenBank genome assembly.
CAUUAAAACACCAGUUCCCGUACAAUCAUCAAAGUUAAACAAUGUCAAGCCUGGUCAGUAACUAGAUGGGUGACCACUUGGAAAUACCAGGUGCUGUAUGC